RNAcentral lists this unclassified non-coding RNA (345 nucleotides) under soil metagenome. RNAcentral describes it as "partial contains 5.8S ribosomal RNA, internal transcribed spacer 2, and large subunit ribosomal RNA". The stretch from base 1 to 120 matches the Rfam family "5.8S ribosomal RNA", at positions 35 to 154 of the family's 154-position model. The record is from RNAcentral.
GAUGAAGAACGUAGCGAAAUGCGAUAAGUAAUGUGAAUUGCAGAAUUCAGUGAAUCAUCGAAUCUUUGAACGCACAUUGCGCCCCUUGGUAUUCCGAGGGGCAUGCCUGUUCGAGCGUCAUUUCAACCCUCAAGCACGGCUUGUGUGUUGGGCCUCCGUCCUCCUCCCGGGGGACGGGCCCGAAAGGCAGCGGCGGCACCGCGUCCGGUCCUCGAGCGUAUGGGGCUUCGUCACCCGCUCUUGUAGGCCCGGCCGGCGCUUGCCGACACAUCAAUCUUUUUUCCAGGUUGACCUCGGAUCAGGUAGGGAUACCCGCUGAACUUAAGCAUAUCAAUAAGCGGAGGA